RNAcentral lists this unclassified non-coding RNA (22 nucleotides) under Mus musculus (house mouse). RNAcentral's name for it is "oocyte_clustered_small_RNA8617". The record is from RNAcentral. Lineage: Eukaryota; Metazoa; Chordata; Mammalia; Rodentia; Muridae.
CCGAGGGCCACAGCCUCCGCGC